This 253-nucleotide ribosomal RNA is filed under the name uncultured bacterium. RNAcentral's name for it is "partial 16S ribosomal RNA". It matches the Rfam family "Bacterial small subunit ribosomal RNA", at positions 524 to 776 of the family's 1533-position model. The record is from RNAcentral.
UCCGAAGGGGGCUAGCGUUGCUCGGAAUUACUGGGCGUAAAGGGCGCGUAGGCGGAUAGUUUAGUCAGAGGUGAAAGCCCAGGGCUCAACCUUGGAACUGCCUUUGAUACUGGCUAUCUUGAGUUCGGGAGAGGUGAGUGGAAUGCCGAGUGUAGAGGUGAAAUUCGUAGAUAUUCGGCGGAACACCAGUGGCGAAGGCGACUCACUGGCCCGAUACUGACGCUGAGGCGCGAAAGCGUGGGGAGCAAACAGG